GGACUACCGGGGUAUCUAAUCCUGUUUGCUCCCCCAGCUUUCGUGCCUGAGCGUCAGGUGUCGGCCAGGGCGCUGCCUUCGCCGUCGGUGUUCCUCCGGAUCUCUACGCAUUUCACCGCUCCACCCGGAAUUCCACGCCCCUCUCCGACCCUCAAGCUCCGCCGUCUGCACGGCACCCUCCCAGUUGAGCCAGGAGAUUUCACCGCACACGCGCGAAGCCGCCUGCGCACCCUUUACGCCCAGUAACUCCGGACAACGCUCGUCUCCUACGUAUUACCGCGGCUGCUGGCAC
RNAcentral lists this ribosomal RNA (292 nucleotides) under uncultured bacterium. RNAcentral's name for it is "partial 16S ribosomal RNA". The record is from RNAcentral.